CGAACGCUGGCGGCGUGCCUAAUACAUGCAAGUCGAGCGCAUCGAUGGGAGCUUGCUCCCUGAAGUGAGCGGCGGAUGGGUGAGUAACACGUGGGUAACCUGCCUGUCAGAUCGGGAUAACUGUGGGAAACCGCAGCUAAUACCGGAUAAUCCUUCGCACCGCAUGGUGCGGAGUUGAAAGAUGGUUUCGGCCAUCACUGACAGAUGGGCCCGCGGUGCAUUAGUUAGUUGGCGGGGUAACGGCCCACCAAGACAGCGAUGCAUAGCCGACCUGAGAGGGUGAUCGGCCACAUUGGGACUGAGACACGGCCCAAACUCCUACGGGAGGCAGCAGUAGGGAAUCUUCCACAAUGGACGAAAGUCUGAUGGAGCAACGCCGCGUGAGCGAAGAAGGUUUUCGGAUCGUAAAGCUCUGUUGCUGGAGAAGAACGAGUGCGAGAGGAAAUGCUCGUAUGUGACGGUAUCCAGCCAGAAAGCCACGGCUAACUACGUGCCAGCAGCCGCGGUAAUACGUAGGUGGCAAGCGUUGUCCGGAAUUAUUGGGCGUAAAGCGCGCGCAGGCGGCUUCUUAAGUCUGAUGUGAAAUCUUGCGGCUCAACCGCAAACGGUCAUUGGAAACUGGGAAGCUUGAGUGCAGAAGAGGAGAGUAGAAUUCCACGUGUAGCGGUGAAAUGCGUAGAUAUGUGGAGGAAUACCAGUGGCGAAGGCGGCUCUCUGGUCUGUAACUGACGCUGAGGCGCGAAAGCGUGGGGAGCAAACAGGAUUAGAUACCCUGGUAGUCCACGCCGUAAACGAUGAAUGCUAGGUGUUAGGGGGUCCAACCCUUAUGCUGAAUUAACACAUUAGCAUUCCGCCUGGGGAGUACGACCGCAAGGUUGAAACUCAAGGAAUUGACGGGGGCCCGCACAAGCAUGAGCAUGUGGUUUAAUUCAAGCAACGCGAGAAACUUACCAGUCUUGACAUCCUCUGACAAGCCUAGAGAUAGGCCGUUCCCCUUCGGGGGACACAGUGACACGUGGUGCAUGGGUGUCGUCACUCGUGUCUGAGAUUUGUUAAGUCCCGCAACGAGCGCAACCCUUGAUCUUAGUUGCAGCAUUCAUUGGGCACUCUAAGGUGACUGCCGGUGACAAACCGGAGGAAGGUGGGGAUGACGUCAAAUCAUCAUGCCCCUUAUGAUCUGGGCUACACACGUGCUACAAUGGGUGGUACAAAGGGCAGCGAAACCGCGAGGUCGAGCUAAUCCCAUAAAGCCACCCCCAGUUCGGAUUGCAGGCUGCAACUCGCCUGCAUGAAGCCGGAAUUGCUAGUAAUCGCGGAUCAGCAUGCCGCGGUGAAUCCGUUCCCGGGCCUUGUACACACCGCCCGUCACACCACGAGAGUUUGUAACACCCGAAGUCGGUGC
Molecule: ribosomal RNA, 1402 nt
Filed under: Sporolactobacillus laevolacticus
Lineage: Bacteria; Bacillati; Bacillota; Bacilli; Caryophanales; Sporolactobacillaceae
Description: bacterial SSU rRNA
Rfam family: Bacterial small subunit ribosomal RNA
Source: RNAcentral